UUGGAGCAAUAAUUUAAAGCUCACUUGUCCCCCAUCUCCACCCCUCAUAGUUUUACAGGUGAUGAAACUAAAAUGUAAAGAAAAUGUCAAGUCAAAUCAGGGUAUCUAGCUAAUGCAGUAGAGUGCUAGGCCUGGAGUCAAGAAGAUUCAUUUUCAGGAGUCCAAAUCCAUCAGUUUCCUUAUCUGUAAAAUCAGCUGAAGAAAGAAAUGGUAAUAUAUUCCAGUAUCUUUGCCAAGAAAACCCCAAAAAGGGUAAUGAAGUAUCAGAUAUAAAUGAAAAAAUGUUUGAGCAACCACCAGCAAGUCAGAAGGAGGGACCCAAGUUCUCUUGCUCCCAAUGCAGGGCUCCCACUACCCUACCCUAAUCUCUCUCCAUUUCCUCACUUUCUGGGGACAAAUUGAAAAAUCUGAAAUUGACAUUUUUACCUUUAAUAACAUAUAUUGACCAUAUCAAUGAUUUGUCUCAUUGUUGUUAACAUAUCCAAGUCCUUUUCUCUUUAAAUUCCAGGGAUUUGGCACAGAUUUUGCAAAACUCAAUCAAUCAUUCAAUCGAUCAAUCACUUCAGGUGUGCUUCCUAAUGACUAUUACCUGGAAUAGACUGUGGCCCAAGACUUAUCCCACUGUAUAAUUAAAGUUAAAAAGAUCAGUUAAUAUCAGCAAAAUGCUAGUUAUGUAGCAGUAACAAAGGCAGUCAGUGCUUCCGAGUCAACACACAUUCUAUAUUUGUUUUACUUUCAAUUUCAAAUGAACUAAUAUAAAUAAUAGGACCCCUGUGGUUUUGCGGAGGCCCUCUAGCAGCAGGGCGCUUUCCUGAGGAAGUGGGAACAGGGGCAGUCGCCCAGAUCUAAAUAGCUAAACCAACAUUAGCUCAAUGUCAAUAAAAAUGUGAAUAGAAUUUAGGUUCCCAGAGGGCAAGGAUCUAUUCCUUUAGUAUAGAAACUGGCAUGGGACUUGAUCCAAAGUACCCAUUCCACAAACAUCACUUUCACCUUGGGGAAAAAACCAGAAGGAAAGAAAAGACAUUGAAUAGGAGAGAGAAGAGGAAGGAAAACUUUCUUCUGGAUUGUUCACUGUCCUUCCAGAAAAUGUGUACUGAGAUGCCUUAGAGCUGGCCAGAAAGGGAAGAAAACUCAAUGAAGCUAUUCUUCUGAAGCAAAGGAUUUGCUUGCUUGGCGUAAUUACUCACUCUCCCCACUUCUCCCCCCCAAAGGUAAUAAGCAUC
RNAcentral lists this long non-coding RNA (1223 nucleotides) under Sarcophilus harrisii (Tasmanian devil). Its description in RNAcentral is "lncRNA (ENSSHAG00000023916.1)". The record is from RNAcentral. Lineage: Eukaryota; Metazoa; Chordata; Mammalia; Dasyuromorphia; Dasyuridae.